GACGAACGCUGGCGGCGUGCUUAACACAUGCAAGUCGAACGGAAAGGCCCUGCUUUUGUGGGGUGCUCGAGUGGCGAACGGGUGAGUAACACGUGAGUAACCUGCCCUUGACUUUGGGAUAACUUCAGGAAACUGGGGCUAAUACCGGAUAGGAGCUCCUGCUGCAUGGUGGGGGUUGGAAAGUUUCGGCGGUUGGGGACGGACUCGCGGCUUAUCAGCUUGUUGGUGGGGUAGUGGCUUACCAAGGCUUUGACGGGUAGCCGGCCUGAGAGGGUGACCGGCCACAUUGGGACUGAGAUACGGCCCAGACUCCUACGGGAGGCAGCAGUGGGGAAUAUUGCACAAUGGGCGGAAGCCUGAUGCAGCAACGCCGCGUGCGGGAUGACGGCCUUCGGGUUGUAAACCGCUUUCGCCUGUGACGAAGCGUGAGUGACGGUAAUGGGUAAAGAAGCACCGGCUAACUACGUGCCAGCAGCCGCGGUGAUACGUAGGGUGCGAGCGUCGUCCGGAUUUAUUGGGCGUAAAGGGCUCGUAGGUGGUUGAUCGCGUCGGAAGUGUAAUCUUGGGGCUUAACCCUGAGCGUGCUUUCGAUACGGGUUGACUUGAGGAAGGUAGGGGAGAAUGGAAUUCCUGGUGGAGCGGUGGAAUGCGCAGAUAUCAGGAGGGACACCAGUGGCGAAGGCGGUUCUCUGGGCCUUUCCUGACGCUGAGGAGCGAAAGCGUGGGGAGCGAACAGGCUUAGAUACCCUGGUAGUCCACGCUGUAAACGGUGGGUACUAGGUGUGGGGUCCAUUCCACGGGUUCCGUGCCGUAGCUAACGCUUUAAGUACCCCGCCUGGGGAGUACGGCCGCAAGGCUAAAACUCAAAGGAAUUGACGGGGCCCCGCACAAGCGGCGGAGCAUGCGGAUUAAUUCGAUGCAACGCGUAGAACCUUACCUGGGUUUGACAUGGAUCGGGAGUGCUCAGAGAUGGGUGUGCCUCUUUUGGGGUCGGUUCACAGGUGGUGCAUGGCUGUCGUCAGCUCGUGUCGUGAGAUGUUGGGUUAAGUCCCGCAACGAGCGCAACCCUUGUUCACUGUUGCCAGCACGUUAUGGUGGGGACUCAGUGGAGACCGCCGGGGUCAACUCGGAGGAAGGUGGGGAUGACGUCAAGUCAUCAUGCCCCUUAUGUCCAGGGCUUCACGCAUGCUACAAUGGCUGGUACAGAGAGUGGCGAGCCUGUGAGGGUGAGCGAAUCUCGGAAAGCCGGUCUCAGUUCGGAUUGGGGUCUGCAACUCGACCUCAUGAAGUCGGAGUCGCUAGUAAUCGCAGAUCAGCAACGCUGCGGUGAAAACGUUCCCGGGGCU
This 1346-nucleotide ribosomal RNA is filed under the name uncultured bacterium. Its description in RNAcentral is "partial 16S ribosomal RNA". It matches the Rfam family "Bacterial small subunit ribosomal RNA", at positions 28 to 1381 of the family's 1533-position model. The record is from RNAcentral.